UGGGGAAUAUUGGACAAUGGGGGGAACCCUGAUCCAGCGAUGCCGCGUGUGUGAAGAAGGCCUGAGGGUUGUAAAGCACUUUUAGUGGGGAGGAGUGUUCAUAGGUUAAGAGCUAAUGAGCUGGACGUUACUCACAGAAAAAGCACCGGCUAACUCCGUGCCAGCAGCCGCGGUAAUACGGAGGGUGCGAGCGUUAAUCGGAAUGACUGGGCGUAAAGGGUGCGUAGGUGGUUGAAUAAGUUAUAGGUGAAAUCAUAGGGCUCAACCUUGUGUGGAAUUAUAAUACUGUUUAACUAGAGUAUAGGAGAGGGAAGUGGAAUUUCCGGUGUAGCGGUGAAAUGCGUAGAGAUCGGAAGGAACACCAGUUGCGAAGGCGGCUUCCUGGCCAUAUACUGACACU
RNAcentral lists this ribosomal RNA (400 nucleotides) under uncultured bacterium. Its description in RNAcentral is "bacterial SSU rRNA". It matches the Rfam family "Bacterial small subunit ribosomal RNA", at positions 355 to 747 of the family's 1533-position model. The record is from RNAcentral.